UUUAACUUAGCAUAAAAAAAAAUGCAAAGAGUUUAAGCCUCUUUUAUUAAUGUUAAAA
This 58-nucleotide transfer RNA is filed under the name Sarcoptes scabiei. RNAcentral's name for it is "tRNA-Leu". The record is from RNAcentral. Lineage: Eukaryota; Metazoa; Arthropoda; Arachnida; Sarcoptiformes; Sarcoptidae.